Parasteatoda tepidariorum (common house spider) is the source of this 2719-nucleotide non-coding RNA. NCBI's taxonomy places the organism in Eukaryota, Metazoa, Arthropoda, Arachnida, Araneae, Theridiidae. The record is from RefSeq and is a predicted model, not a curated record.
UAAUCUCAGCGGCAAAUGAUUAUCCUAUUUUGAAUUGGGAGACCAUGAAUUCAGUUUUCUAAUAUCUAGAUACUAUUCCACUCAUCCGUUGCCAUAGUUACCAGUCAAUUGCAAUUUACACUUUUCUGUCUCGCUAAGCGUACAAUAGUUUUUAAAUAAAAAUACUUUAUAACACAAAAAUAUCCACUUUUAUAUUUAAAGUUAUCAAGAGAAAUAGAAAUAAUGUAAAGUUAAUGUAGGUGAUGGAGAUUUGUGGAGCUUUUAGAAUUGAAUUUAUUGAUCUUCUACUAUAUAUUACUUAUUAAAAAAAAAUUAUUUUAGAUUGUCUAAAAUAAAAUUUCAUUUCAGUAUACCAUGAUACAUCCAUUAACACAGUAACAUGCAUCCAUUAACAUAGAGAAGUAUUUUCAACAUCUAUACAUCACAUGGUUGAACAAAUUUUCAAGAAUCCUGCAUUGCGAAUUCUAGCACAUUCUUUUCUUGCUAAUACUGCCACCUCCCCCAUAUUUGCAACAAUGCUAGUAGAAUAUCUUCUAAAAAGGAUGGAAGAAAUGGAUGUAAGUAAUAUUUACUGUGAUAACUUUUUCAAAUAAUUUUGUUUAUUCUUUUUCUUUUUUUUUAUUGCAAAAAAUUAUUUUAACAUAUGUGUCUCACAAAAUUAAAUGUGUACUGGUGAACUUUCAAAGUACAAAAUAAUAAUUACCACAUUAAAAGUGAUAAAUGCUUAUAUAUUUACUUAUUAUGAAGCAUAACUAUUAACACUUAUCUAUUUAGCAUUAUCUGCAUUGUCAUUGAACAAAUGUUACAAUUUUUUUAUAUAUUCAAUUCCUUUAUAAUCAGUUAUUUUCUAUGAUGUUUAAACAAAUAAUUGUCAUUUGGGUACUGAUGAUAGACAACAAAAUGAUACAUUUUUAUCAUGUGAACGUAUAUUUGUUAAGUAGGAAUUUCGUUUAAAAUAUUUUUUGUAAAAUGAAUUUCUUAAGGUUUUGUGAUUAACAAAUAUAUUUUUUACAUGUAUAAAUUUUUUUUACAUGUAUUCUGCACAUUUUAUUUUUAAACAAGUGAACUUAUUUCAUAACAUUAUAUAUUCUUCAGAGCAAAUAUGGACAGAUCUAACUUGUACAUGAAGCUUUUUGAACUGGUUUUUGGAUCAGUGUCUUUGUUUCCUGCUUAAAAUGAGGAAAUGCUAAAAGUAAUUUUUACAUUCUUUAAUAAUUACUUGUAUUUAAAAAAAUAUUUUAAAUAUACUUUUUUGUUGUUGCUUUUAAUUGUUAAAGUAACCUUUUUUUCCCCUUUCUAGCUCUAUUUACAUCAAAUAGUAAAUAGAUCCAUGGAGCUAGCUUCAAGUGCUAAAGAACCAUAUAAUUAUUUCCUUCUUUGUAGAGCCUUGUUUCGGUCUAUAGGAGGUGGUAGUCAUGAUUUGUUGUAUCAAUAAUUCUUACCUUUAUUACCAAAUUUAUUGCAAGAUAAGUAAAAUAAGUUUUUUUAAUUUAUUUAUUCGUCACAAUUUUUUUUCCUCUAUUAUUUAGAAAAUUUGUUUUUAUUCUAUCAGUUCAUAACUUUAAAAAAAUUCUAAUUACAUCUUUUGCUUAUGCUUUUCUGGGAAUAGAUGAUCUUAAAAAUUUAAAAAUAUAUUUGUGGAAUCGCUAAAAUGAAAUUAAAAUUAGUUAUAUUUCUCAUGAAUUAAAGGUAUUAUUAAAUUUGGUAUGAUAAUUUUGGCAAUGAUGUUUUAAACAAUUAACUGACCACACCUGUUACACUCUCACCUGCCACUCUUUUGUCUUAAGGACUGAAAUCAGUCUUGAGAAAAGAUCAAUGGGCUGAAUUCUCUCCUGGAAUUAAUAUUUAUUUGUAAUUUUUUUAAAUUAAGUUUUAAAAACAAACUUAAAAAAACAUUUUUUUCUUUAAAAAAUACAAUAAUGCAUGUGAGAAUAAAUAAAUAAAAAUAAUCUUUCUAUGAAAAUUUUGUUAUUUUUCAUAAUAAUUGCAAAUGAUAUCACAACACAACAAAAGAAUGUAAUGGACUUCAACAUCUGCUUGUAUGAACAAAAUUUUUAUUGUUGAAUCUGCUUCAGUUAGUGACUUUUCCAAAAUUUUGAGGUGCUGGGUAACUCUCCUUUCCUUUUAAGUUUGAAAAUUGCCUGUAUUCUGUAGCAAUACUUAAAAAAUUUUUCAUUUCACUUUACUAGAGUUAAAAUAUUCCUUUAUUUCUGUGUAAUCUAUUUCUUGUACUGUUUUUUUUUUUUGUUUGAAAAUUAUUAACUUUAGUAUUGUAAAUAUUUAAGAAAUUUUUCUUAAGCUGUUGUAACCAUUUUGGUAUGUUAUAUUUAAAUGCUCUUGCUUUUUUAUGGUAUAAAGUUAUUUAUAUUUACAUGAAAUAUGUGCAGCAUUUUUUGAUUUCAAAAUUUUUACUUUGUCUUUUACCAACUUAAAAAUGAGCUAACACCUACCUUCAAUUUAAGUAAAAAAAAUAAGAAAUCUAUUAGAGCCACUCCUUGACUAUAAUUUGUUUUAACCUCCCCAACAUACUGAGCAUAAAUUUAAACAAUUUCUUGUUACAACUUUUUCAAUCCUUCUUGUAUGUUUACUUAAUCUUCAUAAUUGUUUCAUUCUUUCAUUUAUAUUUGUUAAACAUUUAAUGAUUUACUGUGUUCUAUAUUUUUCCUAUUCUUGUUGCUAAUAAAUUAUAAUUUUUAAUACAUUUUUUUAUUUUAUUAUG